Cygnus olor (mute swan) is the source of this 9870-nucleotide long non-coding RNA. RefSeq lists it as uncharacterized. The transcript has 5 exons. Lineage: Eukaryota; Metazoa; Chordata; Aves; Anseriformes; Anatidae. The record is from RefSeq and is a predicted model, not a curated record.
UUUAAAAUGUACAAAUUAUUUCUCAAGUUUUAAAUAAACAUAACACCUUGGACAGGAUAAAAACCAAAUUUUUAACAGCAAGAACCACACUUAUUUGCCACAGUUCUUUGCUAUAUAAAUAUACAACCCAAAGACAAAUGCUGUAUAUUUCUGUAAUGUCUCAAUGGUUGAGAUGAGCCCGCAUUUUUGUCUCUGCACAGGAGAGAAGCUUUUCCAGCUUCCUGGCAGAGGGAAUUGCACAAUUCCAGAUGACUUACUUUAUAUGCCUAAAGGAAUUUUAUUACACAAAUAACAAAGGGAGACAAAGAGAGGAAGAGGGAGAGCACACACUCAGAAUAAUAAACAAAGAAUAAUAAACAUCCCUACAAUUGUCCAGGGAUUCCAGAUGUGGCUCCAUCCCUCUGCAAGUCAUGGCUGUGACUUCUUUGGACUUCUUUAUAGGCUGCCUUAGACCGCUUGGAAAAUGUCACCCUCAAAUCUGCUGAGCCUCCUGGGAUACUCAGGAGCUUUGGUGCACAGUGACACUGUAAUUCCUAUAACAAUGUGCUUACUUGCUUCCUGAAAAACGCUAACAAAAUCCAUUGUAAAUGAAUUGGUCUGUGAUAUUACAGCUCAUGCCAGUAGAUUUCUGUUGCAUUGCUCUCAGCUGAGUUGCUUCAAGAAGCUGAUUGUCCUAAAGCUGUGGUCCUUGUGGCCCGUUGUAGUCUGAUGGCGAAUUUUCUCCCCAUCCUGUUUAUAUCUUCCAUCAUUGGUAUUUAGGGCAUUAAUCACAAAUCCUAUGCAUGCUUAAUUUAAAUAAAAUUGCAGGUUAAUUUGCAAUAGGUUGUGAGAGGCCAACUAGCAAAAGAAAAGCACUAUCAGAGCUAUGAUGAAAUCACAUAUUGCAGCCAGUUUGCUUCUCUUACUGCCUUUUUUUUUUUUUUUUUUUACUUAAAUUCUUAUAAGCUUCUUUUAAUCAAGUGACGUGGCUAAUUGGCUAGGGAUGCCUCCAGCCUCAUGUACUAUCCAUCUGGAUUUCAUAUGCAUUGUGUUUUCCCAACUGAAAAGAAGCAGAAGUACUACACAACUAGUUAGAACUCAGUCCCCCCAAAAAAGUAACAUUUUGUUCCUAGAGAAAAAUUUGUUUCUCAUGUGGGAUUUUAAUGCAGACCAUAAAAAAAAAAAAAAAAAAAAAAAAGUAGCAAAGCCUAGACAAUCAUCAGUUUCCAUGUCAUACAAAGCCAAAGAUGAAGUCAAAAUUAUUUCCGUAUUAAAACAAACAGAAUUUACUUAGUCUUUGCGUGCUAUAUUUUAUUGUAAGCAUGAAUGCUGGAAUUCCUAUUACCUUGGAUGCACAAAAACAUUUAGUAUAUCAAUAAAUAAGAAAUUGUGUGUUGUUUUUUUUUUUUCUCUUUUUCUGACUUCCACAAUAUUUAAUGUGCUUUGCAAUAGUAAAAUGAAUGUGAAAGGUCAGACACUCAAAACAGACCAAGAUCCAAGAUCUGCUUCAUCUUGCUUGCUACAAUCAGUUAUAAAUAUGGAAAAAUACUUAUUAUUAAUUUUGUAAAUGAAAUAAUGGAAUUGGAUUCUAAAUGUAAGGGGGUAUAAGAAGAUCCAUCAUUCAAGAAAAACACAAUCAGCCAAGCACCCUCUACUGAGAUUAUUAGUUGAUGCAAGUCACAGUGGCCACUGGAAGGUGGGCUACCAGUCCCUUUAAAUAGUUAGCUAUCAUCCUGCCUAUCAUGUUUCACUUCUGCAAAAUUACUCAUUAGUGUUAUUCUAAAUAUUUAUGUAAUUGCAGUUAAACCCAAGGAAAGGCACUUUUGUACAUAAUAUUAUUUCAAAGUGCAUGCCCCAGCAUGGAAAUAGAGUCAUGACUUAGUUCAUUUUUUUGUAGCUUUUGUACCUUCUGUCACAGAAUUUCCGACUUGCACCAUUUUACUGAAGAAAGAGACUUCUCAUUCUUCUUCAAUCCUGAUUAUUUUCCUUGAUUACCGGAACAGAAACAGAUAACAGAUGCAUCUGAGCUCCCAACUGUAACCCUAUCAUGUGUGGAGCAGUGCAAGAUUGCAUCACCACAAGCUCUUGUAUAUCUACUCUUGCAGUGUGAUCCAAAAAAUGUUUUUUCCACCACUUCUUCACAAAUAGUUUGGUGUGAUAAUUCACAGUGGCCAAAGUCCAAGCUUAUUUAUCUCAGUAGCAUUCCUCUACUUAGACAGAGCAUAGCUGAGUGAAGACAAUGUAUUUAAAGCUUUUAGGGCACUGGAGGUCUAUCACCAUUUAAACUGAGUGACUAGUUUAUCCCAUGCUCUGUUUCUCAUUUUACCUCUUACUGAGGAGUCCUAAAAAUACCUGUACUUGGCAGAAGGGAGGAACUUUGCCAUCUUCAACAAGAAAACUGUGUCAGCUGUUUGGCUGAUGAACGUGUAUUCAAAUCUGCACGUGGAAUAUACAUAUAUGCAUGAUGUAUAUAGAAAUGGGGUCAGGGACAGUGGGAGAAAGUGGGAGAGAACAGCCCUUCCACCUGCAAAUCCCAGUGCUCUGUGAAUUGGUCACUUCACCCAGGUCUGCCUGGCAGGCAAUGUUCACAUCCCAGUCAUUAGCUGUGCAGGGAUUUCAGAGUUUCACAUGUUGGUAGGGCUGAGCAGGUCACUACAGUUCAAAACAAAGAGGUCCAGGACUCCUAUCCAAACAGCUGUGGUUCAUAUUUGAAUUUUAGCCUUCUGGAAGGUGAAAACCUCAGACCUUGUGUUCCCCAAGGAAGUCUUGCAUAAGCUUUGGUCUCAGUUAGUGGAGCAUAGAGAAAGUAAAAGGUCCAGAGUGCAGCUGACUUUGGAACACUGAAAAUAAAUGGUCAAGCUUCUCUCAGCUAUGUCUGUGCAUAUAGCUCAUGUUAACAGUAAUGGGACUAAUGUGCAUAUUGAGGGUCAGCUAUAUCCACAAAGUGAGCAAAUUAGGAGGAGCCAAGAACAAUCAGACUUUGUUAUAUUUUAGAAUUUUGCCAAAACAAUAGCUAGUCCAAAAUUAUUUUAUAGGUUAAGCAAAUCUGUCCAUCUGCAGUGGGAUUUCAUCUUCCCAGCAGAACUUGGUUAUUUACCAGCUUUUCAGUAGUUCAGUUCUGAUAAGCGAAGCAAGUCUCCAAGAACUCUUGUGCAAAAAGGAAGCAGCUGUUUACAGAGAUGAGACAUUAUGGUUGAGGAAGCCUCCUGGGAGCAUUGUGACAUGCACAGCACUUACAAACUGCAGAGAUGUGAGAAGGAGGGAAUUAUGUUUAAUUUUGUGAUCUCUUCUGCCUGGUGGGAAAGUGGUUUUGGAAGAGUGGGAAAUUCAUAUGAAUCUGAUUUGAUAGUUGGAGGACAGAAGUUCUUUAUUGACAGCCUGGGUGGUGCUAACACAAAUGUGCCCCUUUGCACUUCACUGUUGGCUUACAGAGAGUACUUCUAGGGAAGAGACAUUCGCCCGCCUUGUUUUUAAACCCUGGGUUGUCCCUGAGUCUUCAGUAAGCAGUUAUUUUGAAGGGAUUUCCUUUGAGAUAUUGAUGUAUUGUCAGUAAAAUUUGGACGGAGGCCUCUAACACGAUUUCCACAAACUACCAUUCAAUAUAGCCAUUAGCUGUAUUCAGUUGCCACUAGCCUGUAUUUGACCAAAUUUGCUAAAUGGAGGGUUGCAUUCCUCACAGUUAGCUGUGGGAUUCAGCCAUGAGCUGAAUUAGCCAGAGAUUAACAGACACUGCACAGUCAUUUCCCUGAUAAAUCUAUAAAAAACAUAGCCAGACCUUCAGCAGCCCAUCAGUUAUACCUCAAGCCAUUCAGCCUCCUGCUGUCAUUUCCCAAAGAGAUUGUCAUCAUUAGCAUAAGAAACACAGGGGCAAGAGCAGAAUUUGUGCUCUUGACUGAACUAUUGCUGUGAGACCUGUAGGCUAGAGGAGUCUAUUUCAUGUAGGACUUCAUGGGAUGACUGGGGAAUAAGAAAGCUGUCUUCCAUCUCUUUGGCAGAAAGGUGCUGUAAAGAGGAAGAUAUAAAGAGAAAGAUGUGCCUGCGUUAUCUCCAUUGGUGUUUGGAGUGGGGUGAACCAGAAGAUAGGAGCAGGUUCAACAGGGAGAAUGUAGCCUUUUGAGACCACGACUUGGAGAAGUAGGACCUAUUUCCAGCUUUGUCAAGCACUGUGAUCAUGAAAAGCUUCUGAGUUGUACCAGUGAUUAACUGGUAUGUUGAAGGAUUUGAAAACUUCACCUGGAGCAGAGAAGCAGGUCAUUUUGUUGAAAAGAAUGACUUUGGAAAAACUGAAUGCUUCUACAGAGGAGGUUUGUAAAUAGGUUCCUGCCUUGUUUCCCUUCAUCAUUUACAAACAAGAUUACUUUCCAGAUGCAGCUAAACUGAAUUACUGCUUUUAGUUUGUGUGACUAACAGAGGGGAAAUUAUCACUUACCAUGAACUGAAAAGCAUUGGAAAAAUAAUGAUGGCUCUAUUAUCCUAAAAAAGUAUAAAAACUAGCCCAAGAAGACUACUAACUUAAGAUCGACCACCCGCAUUCAUAAUGGUGUUUUUCUGUUUAUCAUAUUUAUAUAAACAUUCACUAAGUGUUUAUUUGUAAGACUUCAGUUGGCACUUCUCGUACAUCCUAAAAUUUCAUUGACUUCAGUGGGUAUAUAGCCAGCUCAGGCCUAACGUUUUGAAUUACUCAUUGUGUAUUUAUUUCUAUCUGAAUGAAAGUCUGGUAGUAUACCUCCCAGUCUAAGCACCAGGCAACUCUUUAAUAUUUACACUGGAAAUAGAAAUCCUUAAUCAAAGGAGAAUUUCUGAAAAGAUUAGGCUGUGUUGGAAGGUCUGGUCUUAGUUACAAAAUGAUUCAUCAAUUCACUGCAGUUUUGAAGCUAAUAUAACAAACCUGAGGUCUGAACCAAAGCAAGUAGCCCAAAGUUAGCAGUGUUUUUUUUCCUUCCUAUAAUCUCUGCCAAUCCCAGUGAGGCAUGUUUAUUACAAACUUUUACAAAUUAUAUGCUAACAUAAACCCAAGGUAAGUCCCUGUCUGGAAAAAAGUUCUUGGACUACUAGUAGAAGUCUUCUAAAAAUAUAACUCAGAAAAGUGUAUGACUUGAAAUAGAGUCAUUUCAAGGGUAAUUUGGGUUGCUAUGUCUUCAACACACAGCUGAGAAAUCUGUGAUUGCUGGACAGAUUAGGUUUCUGGCUAUUUUUUAAUGUGUUUAUAUUUUAUGAAACAGCCCUUGGAAAUACUAUUAAAGCUCAAUCAAGGAUUAAGCUUAUUCACUUCUCUUAUUUCUGUCAGUCUUCAUUGCAGGAGAAAGACACUCAUGGACAACUUUCUUUUUAAUCUGAUUUCACUUAUCACAAUGAGUUUCAUUUGCAAUUCAUUAUCCGUUUGGUUCCCAGUUCAUGCUUGUGCAAAAUGGUAGAUUAUUAUUUUCUUGGUUUCUUCCAAGAUGUGUAUGGUAAGUGAUUAUUUAGGGCAUAGUCUAUUUUCCUGGAUUUACACUCCAAAAUACACAGUUUUCCAAUCCAGAUGCACCUGCAUCUAGAGGUUCUGUAUCAAUAACACUGUAAAUAGGUAUAGAAAUUAAACCUCUUAAUUUGUCUUUUUCUGCUUGUCAUUUACCAAACACUGAGGCAGGGUGUGAAUAUAAACCAUGCCUGGUGCUUUCUGUGACUUGUUCACAAACUCACUCAGUUUCAGCCUCAGAGAAGCUGUAGGAGUCUCAUGUUUCUUGGUAGAAGUUGGGUUAGACCAUUACGAUUCAAUCGUUUUAUAACAUUUAUGAAUCAUGUAGUCUGCAAAAGCGUAUCACAUAAAUAAGAGACUAGCUCCAGUCCCAAGCUGUCACAACAGUCACAGAGAGGAGCACUGAAAUCCAUGACCAUGGGUAAAGGGGUCCCUGCAGCUGAUGUAGACCUAGCACAAAAAUCAUUUUUUUUAACAUUAUUCUAAAAAAUCAUCAUUUUUAACAUGUUAUUCUAAAGGACAUUUGAGUUGAAAGCACAUCAAAGGUCUUUGAGGCUGGUGCCCUGUGUCAGAUACUACUAUAUCACAAAAAUCCUUUCAUGAGCUAAUCAAGCUUCAAAGCAAAAGCAAUGAAUUUUUUCAUCUGGCUGCAGCAGUUCUUGACUGGCAGGCAUAUCUUUGAAAACUGUCAUCAUCUUCUGCCAUUAGAUAAGUUUAUAACAUUUUUAAAAUCUGUGUUGUCAUCAAAUCCCACCACUUCUCCACUGGUGGUUUUCAGAGAAAGUACCAUCAAGAAUAAAAUAUUUAUCGUGGAAAUAUUACUCUUACUCCUCUACAAGAGAUGAUCAUAGCAAGGCCUUUUGAGUAAAUUUCUAAAACAUUUCAAAACAUUGAGUUGGAAAGAACUUCCAUAUUUAUUGUUGCUUGGAAGUCGUCCUGCAGCGUCUUCUCUGGCCUUUCAGUCACCCUAACAAAAAACAUGAGCAUGUGAAUGCAAAACGUGAUAUAUCCCUGACAAUUUUCAUGCUCUGUCUCUCUUCACAGCUAGGACAUUUAAGAAAUUAAAAAAAUAAAACAAAGUACUUGACAUUUAUUGAAGGGAAGAGGUUAUGGAAUUAUGUCAAACAGAACACUAGGAGAAUAAAGCCUGCCAGUAAGUUUAACUCUUUCUACAGUUUUAUUGCUCAUUAUAAUUAUUAACAUCUUUAGUUAGAACGCCAUUUGGAUAUCAUUAAAAUAAAUGCAAACGAUCUUGGAUUGUCCUUAAGAUUUUUUUUAGACAUGCUUUUUUUGUCACUCAGCUCACUAAUGGAUCAUUUUUAUGAUAGAAUACUAAGGUAUGUACAUUAAACAGAUUUGCAAUGUCCAAUGUCCCAUUGAGUAGAAAUAAAAUUGCACAGAUUUAUUGUUAUAUUGGAAAGGACUUGAAAUAAAUGCUUGUGAAGAAAACUGCAUCUUCAUUUAACAAACGCUUUGCAGUGCAUUCUUAAUACACUACAUUUACGUUAUGAACCUGGGCCUUCUGGAACUGAAGUCAAUCUCAGUUGGAGCUUUGCCUUUAGUUGUGUUGCAACACCCUCUCCAUACAUUUUUACGUCCCAUGUAGCAACAAGAGGAGGAGACAGGGAAUCAAACUGAAAAGAAGUCUCAGACCAUUUGAAAGUAAUUUGUUCUCUGCCUGCUAAAUAAUCUGAGACAGUGAUUUAAAUUAAUCCACUUUGUCACUGAAGCAGGGUAGAAGCACUUGGUAGGGUAUAUAACAAAUCUAAACUGUUGAAAACGUAACCACUAGAUAAAAAAUAGGAAUGAAAAAUUGAGACAAUAGUUUCUUAAAUUGUUCCUCUAGAUCCACUAAAGGAUAUCCGAUUGCAUACUCACCAAGACUUUUGCAGUUCUAGCUAAUUACUUCUUCCAAAGCCGAGAGCUUAGGUUGGUUUUUUCAUAUCACUUUUCUAGAAGUACUAAUUCAUCUCAAAUUGAUUUCAUCCUUAAUGUAGCCAGAUAACUAAAUGACUUCCUUGCACAGUUUGCCAAACAGUCUUCCAAAGCACGCAAAGUCUCUCUGAAUUAUAGAUAAGGCUACUUAGCUAACAAUACAUUUUGGCACAUAUUACUAUAUGGUCCCAAAGGAUCAUUUUUGUUAUGGAACACAACACAGUCAUGAUUAAUAAAUUGCAUCUUUAUAUAGCAUGUUUUGAAGAUAAUGGCAAAUGAGCAAAAUAAAAAGUUAACAAAAGGCAAUAUUCUUCCCACUGCUUGCAUGGGAAAAGGAAUUUGAGGAAAGAACUUUUGCCUCUUCCUCUAAAGAAUAACACCAGGAAAUCUAUGUGGUAGGAUCUUUGCAAUCUUUUCCAGUUUCCUUCCUCUAUAAAUAUUUCCUCCCAUAGAGGGUAUGUGGGAGAAAGAUCAAGUUGGAAUAACUCCCUUGAACAUCCUUUGAGCAGGAGUGCUACUUGCUUUUGGGGGUAGGGUUUCUUUCAUUUUUUUGCUUCGAUUUUUUUUUUUUAAGUUCAAUGCAGAAGUGAGAUGACUGAGCAGAUUCAAUGAGCAGUCUGUGUGCCCUCAGGGAAAUACAGACCCACAGGACCUCCCCAGUGGCUUCCAGUCUUAAUAGGACUGAAAAGUCAUUGCUUUGUUACUGUUGUCUUAAAAAUGAUAAACUAGAAAGUGAAGAUUUUCUGCCGAUCUGAGCCUAAAACUGAAGAGUCCAACAGUUUAGGUCUGGAAUAAAAUACAUCUGCUUAGCAUUUGUGCUUCCUGCUGGAAAUCUCAUUGCAAAUUCUUCCAGAGCAACGUUCCACAGACAUCUGUAGCCUGUCAUAAAUGGAGUGCCCCUCCAGCCACACGUUCACACAAACAUUCAACUAUGUGCUCUCAUGAAAUAGCAGGAGAAUGGUACCUCUCCAUGUGAUAUGAGUUUGGUUCAGCAGUGAUUCCUCACUUUGCCAGGCUGUUACAGCUCAGCUCACUGCAGAGGUAGUCAAAACAAUCUGAUCUCUCUGCCAAUUUGCACAUAUGGCUUUCUCUGUGCUCCCUGUAGAAGUAUACAGAGUAAAGGAUUUUGCUGUUUUUCUCUUUUUCCUUUUAUUCAUCUUAAUAAAGUUUUUCUCAUCAGACAAUGGUAUCUUCCAUGAUUUUUCUGAAUUUAAUUGAAAAGUUCUGAAAAAAUAGAACGACUCACUGUUAUUUCAUUCUAUAUACUGAGACAGUGUUCUUUGUGGUGUGGGUGAAGAAAAAUGAUUUUCACAGGUCCCUGGCUUGAUAUUCCAUCCUCAUACGUAUAUGACCCUGUGAUUGAAUACUGAUUGCACUAAUUUACUUGAAUGAUACAGCUGUCCCUCAGUAAUCCUAGCAGUUUGCAACCAUCAAGUACCUGCCUGUCAAUCUGAUGUACUCUGUGUUAAUAAAGUACUCAUUGCAACAGAAACCUGAGUACCAUUCCCUCCUCUGCCAAGGAACAUUUAACUAAGUUGAUCGAACAGUUGCACUCUCCUCCUCAUCCCUCAAAGUAAGCAAUACACACUAAGCAAAAAACCUCAGUAAGAUCAGAAGCUGGGAGCCAGAGAAAUAUGCUUUCAGGCCAAAGAAGAUUUUUGAAAACAGGUCCCCACUUAGUGGGACUGAGAGGCAGAGAUUUCCAUUUUCCCCCCACUAUUUGGAAAGGCUGAUAUCCAAACCAAGCAACUGAAAUAAAACAUGGCUUCCUUCCCCGAGAUGGUUUCAUAGCCCAGCUCUCCAGCUUUCUCUCCUACCACAAACAUGCAACACAAUUGUGCAACAGCCUAGGAAGGAAUGGUGAGAUCAGAGCCGUGACUGCAGACAUCCUGACAUGGGGAUCUGGCAGCUAUUCAACACAAACACAAUUAGAAGACUUACCCUUGCGUGAAGUAUUUGCUUUCUUGAUAGUCACCAGCCUUAACCUCUAGGAAUGCUUACGAAUCAGAUAGCGUUCCUUGAGGAGGGCGAGCCUUUUCAAGCUCGUCUGUCUUGCUUUAGCCAAGACAGACAUAAAGAAGAAAAAUUCCACUGCAUCAUGCAACUUCUCCAAGUGAAAGCGCUUCAGAGGACAGAAGAGUUGUGGUCUCAAAUCUCUGUCAAGGAUUCAAGAACCAAAGAUCACAUGUUACUUGUUUCUCUCUCCCUCCAUUAUGAUCAGCAGGAAAAAAAUAACAGCAUAACAGACAAACCUUGACAUUCUCAGCAAACAUGAAAGUAGGGGACUCCCUAAGUCCUGCUCAUUGGCUUUAUGUUACAGGAGGCUUCUCUGGCAAUGGCGAUACCAUAGAAUGAUGCAUUUGGCUUUGCAUAUCUUAGGAAACUUGGAGGAUGUGUGCAUCUGUGCAGCUCUUCAUGACUUUGUUCAUGUUUUUAGAAAAUGUAGCCUAUUGUACAUGUGUGUUAUCCAACCUACAAUAAAUUCUAAGGUAUGACAA